Long non-coding RNA from Lemur catta (Ring-tailed lemur), 374 nucleotides. RefSeq lists it as uncharacterized. The record is from RefSeq and is a predicted model, not a curated record. The transcript is spliced from 4 exons. Lineage: Eukaryota; Metazoa; Chordata; Mammalia; Primates; Lemuridae.
CCCCUGCAGCCUGGGAGCUCCUUCCCUCACCCCACGCCCCCUGUCAACAAGACUGAUGAAUUCAAUACCCCUCUCCCCAGCUGACAGCUCGCUGAGCUGACUCCAAUCAGCGGGAUCCCCUGGUCGCCUGACUCAGACCUCCCCAGUCAGAGGCGGGGUCGGCGGACAGACAGACGGUCUGGAGAGGCUGAUGAAGAAACUGAGCACAGAGAGAUGAGAUCCCAAGCCCAAGGUCCAUUAGCUGUCAGGAGCAGAUGUCCCCAAAGAACCUCUGUUCCCAGGGAAAGGCCAGGGAUCAAUCUGCUGGGAACCGCAAAAGGGCCCAAGUGACCACCUGGUAAUUACUUCACCAGCAGAGCGACUCCUACAGCGAG